This is a long non-coding RNA of Heterocephalus glaber (naked mole-rat), 327 nucleotides long. The record is from Ensembl. NCBI's taxonomy places the organism in Eukaryota, Metazoa, Chordata, Mammalia, Rodentia, Bathyergidae.
AGGAGAAGAAGCUGAGGCAGGCUGUCCCUGGAGGGCAAGGUCCAAUGCCGGAGACACAAGGUUCAUCAGGGACUUUGCACUUGCCAGACAAGCACUGUGCCGCUAAGCUACAUCCUUGGCCCUUCAUCCAGGUUCAUUCUUCGAGGAGCACAGGUUGUCCUGUGCUGGGUCCUGAGCAGGGAACAGACAAAAUCCUCAGCCUUCAAGUGGGGCAGCAGCAAUACAAGAAUAACAGAGGCCAGAGGCUGUAAAGGAGAGAAGACCAGGGAGGGAAUGGACUGUACAAGUCUUUGGGGUGUGGGGGAUUCUGAGCAGAGGGGCGACACA